GGUCAGGAUGAUGUAAUAGAGACCUCUUACAGAAGAACCAACCAUUCAGUACUUGUAGAUUGAGCUUAUUCUUUCGAGAGGCACACACACAUGUACAGCUUUCCACCUUGCUUCUGGACACACGGCCUCUCAUGGAAGCUGGAGUUGACAGAUUCAGCCAGACUACUAGAUGGCAUACUCCAGUGAUCACCUUGUUGCCACAGCCCCGGUGUUAGGACUGCAAUGCACGCCACCACACCUGCCACUUGACAGGCUCCCGGGUGCCACUCCAGCCCUUGCGUUUGCAGGGCAGCCAUCUGACUGACUCAACUUCUUUUCAACCCCUGAACUUGAAUGUGACUUCUUGAAGGUGACUUCACAUUGUUACUGUAAACCUUAAUCAAUUCUGAAUCAUCUGGAAGGAAUGUUAUUAGUUCCAUGAGCUAAUAGAUUUGUCUUUAAGUCAUAUUAAAUAUGGAGGUAUAGAAAUGA
Long non-coding RNA from Peromyscus eremicus (cactus mouse), 471 nucleotides. RefSeq lists it as uncharacterized. Lineage: Eukaryota; Metazoa; Chordata; Mammalia; Rodentia; Cricetidae. The record is from RefSeq and is a predicted model, not a curated record. The transcript has 2 exons.